GCCCAGGUAGCUCAGUUGGUAGAGCACUGCACUGAAAAUGCAGGUGUCGGUGGUUCAAUUCCGCCCCUGGGCA
RNAcentral lists this transfer RNA (73 nucleotides) under Xanthobacteraceae bacterium. Its description in RNAcentral is "tRNA-Phe". It matches the Rfam family "tRNA". Rfam says of the family: Transfer RNA (tRNA) molecules are approximately 80 nucleotides in length. Their secondary structure includes four short double-helical elements and three loops (D, anti-codon, and T loops). The record is from RNAcentral. RNAcentral also lists the same sequence under 1 other name. Lineage: Bacteria; Pseudomonadati; Pseudomonadota; Alphaproteobacteria; Hyphomicrobiales; Xanthobacteraceae.